RNAcentral lists this long non-coding RNA (10320 nucleotides) under Hordeum vulgare. Its description in RNAcentral is "long non-coding RNA (HVUL_LNC018152)". Lineage: Eukaryota; Viridiplantae; Streptophyta; Magnoliopsida; Poales; Poaceae. The record is from RNAcentral.
UCUUGGAGUUCUUUGUGAGCUCCUUGUUCUUCCUCUCAUAUUUCUCCAUAGCUUUUGUUGUUGUGGAGGGAUUUAAGUGUGAGGGACUUGGCCACUUCGUGUGUUCUUACCAUUGCAUUAGUUGCAUCGGUUUGAGUUUUCCACGGUGAUACGUGGAAGUGAAGUUUGAGAAUCUUAUCACCUUUUGGUACUUGGUACCCUAGAGAUUUUUCUUCGGGGCUGCUUUGGCGUCCUAGAAGCUUGGUGGUGCCUUGGAGCUCAAUCAUUGUGGUGUAAAGCUCAGAGCAAGCGUCAGGGUCUCCAAUUAGGUUGUGGAGAUUGCCCCGAGCAAUUUGUACGGGUACCGGUGACCGCCCCCAAGGGUUGCCAUUUGUACGGGUUAGGUGACCACCCUCAAGGGUCCCUUAGUGGAAUCACGACAUCUUGCAUUGUGCAAGGGCGUGAGGAGAUUACGGUGGCCUUAGUGGCAUCUUGGGGAGCAUUGCGCCUCCACACCGCUCCAACGGAGAUUAGCAUCCGCAAGGGUGUGAACUUCGGGAUACAUCAUCAUCUCCGCAUGCCUCGGUUAUCUCUUACCCGAACCCUUUACUUAUGCACUUUACUUUGUGAUAGCCAUAUUGUUUCUUGUCAUAUAUCUUGCUAUCACUUAGUUGUUUAUCUUGCUUAGCAUAAGUUGUUGGUGCACAUAGUUGAGCCUAGUUGUUUUAGAUUUUGUGCUUGACAAAUUAAACGUUAGUUUUAUUCCGCAUUUGUUCAAGCCUAAACCGUAAUUAUUUUAAAGCGCCUAUUCACCAUCCCUCUAGGCGACAUCCACGUCCUUUCAGGCACUGGAUGCACUUACAGAAUCAUCAUAAUUUACUUACCUUGUGAGCCAAUUCCAGUUUGAUUUACUUACCAAACUUCUUAUCAAAAUAAAAUGUAAAUCAUGAACAUAAUUUAAUAAAUAUAUAUCUACACAAUCACAUUACAAACAUAUAAAUCACAAGCUACCAUAUUAAAUAUGGAAAAAGCUUGUAAUCACACGACGGAUUGCAACUCCCGCAUCCGCCACCUUCCCCCAGACACCACGUGCCCCACGAACCACUACUACUAUAUUUUUAACUCGCCUGUUGUUGCAUUCUUACCAUCGCAGCAACUGGUAUAUUGCAGACCGAGGAAGACGAAGACGAGACGAUGAUAUCCAGAUCCCUGCAGCGCCGAACGAGAGAUGCACGUCACGUGACGCUUCAAUGUUGGUGCCGACAACAACUGCCCACCUCGUUGGAUAGGAGGAUGGGGCGACGAGGUUGCAACCGAGGUCGGGCGCACAGGUUGUCAUUGCCGCAUGCCUCCACCACAGCUGUUGGCCAAGCACGGUGCGUCAACCUCGCCGGAGAGAAGGGUGCGAUGAGCGACAUGGCGAGAGAUUUCGACGCUCGCCGAUGGGCAGCGUUGCUAGUCCCUCACCGGAGACCUUUUUUUUGCAACAUCCUCCGUGUUGCAUGAAAGAUUCUGCAACAUCACUAAUGUUGCAAAACUUUCUUACGUCGAUAACUUUGUUGCAAAGAAAUCAACAACAAUAAUAGCUAGAUAACAAUACCUCUGUUACAAAAAAUCUGCAACACAUUCUCUGUUGCAAUUUUUUUACAAGACACCCUCUGCUGCAAAAAAAAUCUGUAAUACAAUCUCUGUUAUAAAUGUUUCUACAAUAAGGUCUUUGUUGCAAAGUAGAAAAAAGACGUUCAUCCCGAUAGAUCCGACGACUCGACGAGACGGUGGAUCUUUUAAAAAGAUCUGCCGACCGAUGCGUAGGAUCCCCAUUAAAAUAUUCAUAUCCCAUUGCAACGCACAUGCAUUGUCCUAGGUUUUUUAUGGACAGGCUUUGUCCUAGUCUUUUUUGAACAUCAAUAACUUAAUUCUUUAAAUAAUAGCUAGGUAUGGCAAUGGGUCGGGUUUGGAGCGGGUGGAGCUGGUCCAAAUCCAACCCAUGACCCAUAUUCGUACCCUCUAUCCAUCCACCAAAGUAUCCAUGGACACAAAAUGUGCCCAUGCCCAAACACAUCCAGAUAUCCAUGGAGCUCCAUGGGCAUAGAAAAAUCAACAUGAAGCCUUCCCAAAGAUCAAACUAACUCUUCAUCGUUUGUUAACAAAGAUUAGGUUUAAUAAUUAUGUUAGUGCAGUUGUGGGGGAUUAGGGAAGAUGGGUCAGACUUUGACCUUCUCUGACCACGAGUGACUUGGGGUUGGACAUUUUCUUAGUUUAGUGUCCCUACCAUAGGGGCCCAUGUGUCAUAUGGGUAUCCAUGGAGCAAAAAUUAAAACUGUGCCCAACCCAACUGUUCGUGGGUAUCCAUAUCCACGGAACCAUGGGCAGAAAUGCGCUCCAUACCCUUGCCCAACUGGGUCGGGUAUCCACGGGUAUCCAGAUCCAUGGAUAAAAUUGCCAUCCCUAAUAAUAGCCAUAUCAUUUAAGUUUGCGGAAGAAGAUAGUCUCGGGGUGAAGCGUCCCAAAACUGAAAAUAGUUAGAGUUAUAACAGUGUUUUGCCAAACAAUCAGCGACGAGAUUAGCUUCCCUAGUUAACACCAUAUAUGUGGAGAUAUCAAGAAAAAAGCACUCGGGGUGAAGUGUCCCAAAACUCAAAAGAGUUAAAGUUAUAGCAGUGUUUUGCCAAACAACCAGAAACGAAAUUAGCUUCCCUAUUAACAACAUAUAUAUGGAGAUAUAGAAAAAACACUGAGGGUGAAGCGUCCCAACACUCAAAAGAGUUAGAGUUAUAGCAGUGUUUUGCCAAACAAUCAGUGACAAGAUUAGCUUCCCUAGUUAACACCAUAUAUCUGGAGAUAUCAAGAAAAAAACACUAGUGGUGAAGCGUCCCAAAACUCAAAAGAAUUAGAGUUAUAACAGUGUUUUGCCAAAGGAAAACACUUUGGAUCAACCGACUGAUUUUACUCAAAAAUCAGCCGGGUCGCUGGCUCCUCACGUGUCCCUCUCAGCCACAUCUUUUCUUCCCACCUUAUCCCUUCCAGUGCUCUCUCCUUCACUCAUUCUCCUCCUCAUCUUAUUCCUCUUUUCCUUCCGUAGCAAUGAUGCUGAGAUGAAGCACGACGAGGGGCAGCCGGGGCUGGGAUGGAGCAGCACCAAUGCACGGGGGUGGCGUUGUAGUGAAGCUCCGUCGACGGCGCCGACGAGAUGUUGAGAUGGAGCCCGUAGUGCUGGUGUCGCGCUCCAAUGAAGCAUUGCCGGAGCUGUGAUCGGUCGUCGGUGCUGCAUUGGAGCAUCGCCACGCCAGUGUGGCGCUGCAAUGAAGCUUCAUCGGCGGCUGCAAUGGAGCUUCAUCGACGGCGCCAAGAGUUGCGACGCUGCGCCCUGAGCUGCAAUGGAGCUUUACCUACGGAGACGAGAGCUGCAAUGCAGCGCCCAAAGCUGCAAUGAAGCUUCACCGGCGGCACCAAGAUCUGCGAUGCAGCACCCGCGCUGCAAUGAAGCUCCACUCGCGCUGCAAUGAAGCUUCAUCACGACGAGCGAUCGUUGCUUGCGUUGACUAGAUCCAAAGUCCUUGUAGAACGCAUCUAAUGGCUGGGGACCCGAGUGAUUUCUUGGGAAAUCAGUCGGUUGAUCCGUAGCAGCCGCCUUUGCCAAACAAUCAGCGACGAGAUUAGCUUCCCUAUUAACACCAUAUACGUGGAGAUAUAAAAAAACAAAGGGUGUAGCGUCCCAAAAACUCAAAAGAGUCAGAGUUAUAGGAGUGUUUUGUCAAACAAUCAACGACGAGAUUAGCUUCCCUAAUUAACACCAUACAUAUAUGCGGAGAUAUAUAAAGAAAAAGGAAAACACUUAAAAACAACCGGCUGAUUUUUCACUCGCGUAAGCCGCGGCCGACGCCCGCCACGCGUCCCUGUUUGCUCGCUCAUCCUUUCCCUUAUCUCUUCCCCCACAAACUGGACCGCUCGUUCUUUUUCCUUCCUUUCUUCUUCCUUGAGCACACCGCACCACACACAAGUGCCAGUGCCUGCCAUCGUAGACCAUAGCCGCCGUUGCUGCUGCAAGCGGGCUUCACAAAGGACGGUGCUUUGAUGCAAUUCCAGUUGUCGGUCACCUCAUGCUGCUAUAGGCUAGGUUGGGAGGACGGUGCUGUCAUGGCCGACGGCGGAGCUGCGUUGCAGCAGGCGAUGCGCGGCGAGGUUGUUGCCAUAUUGAUGGCGGAGCUGCGUUGGAGGAGGAGGGGAUACGAGCAACUGCCAUGGCCCUCGACAGAGCUACGGGCAAUGCUGCAACGAAGCUUCGCGGGGGCAUCAAUGAAGCUUUGCCGAAGCUGCAACGAAGCUUCGUCGGGGCGUCAAUGAAGCUUCGCGGUGCUGCACUGAAGCUUCGUCGGGGCGUCAAUGAAGUUUCGCCGGUGCUGCACUGAAGCUUCGCGUGUGGCGUCGGUGCUCCAUUGCAGCUUCGUCUCGGUGCUGGGGUUGUUAUGAAGCUUUUGUCGAUGCUUGAUGUUGCCAUGGACAGCACCUGCAGCUUCGGAUGCAGCGCCAGAUCGUACGUCCCCUAGCGCCAAAUCUAACGGCUGGCUAGGCGGAUGAUUUCCUGGCCUGAUCCGUAGCAGCCCCCAAAGAAAAAACACCAUAUAUGUGGAACGGUGGUCAAUAAAAUAACCUAGAUUUACAACACAUCUGAACCGUCCGAUCCAGAUACUGAGGCACCUAUAGUAGUACUACUCAACCCCUCGUAUAGGAACCGGCAAAAUGAGUUCAGACCCCGUCAAAUUCCGUUCCCCUCUCACCCCGACCUGACCCACCGACCCCUCGCCGGCCCACCGCCACAGGUCGCCGCAAUGGCGUACAACUCUUCGCGCGCGCGCCUCUCGCCGCCAGCUCCCGCGGCCCCUCGCCCCAGGAAGCGCGGACGUUCUCCCUCAGCUCCCGGCGCGGCGGUGUGGCGCGCGUCCGCUGCAUACGUCGCUCCUUUCGACCACCGCCGCCGCUGGCAGAACCCUGCAGGCGCGUCUGGCCGCGUCUGGCAGGGGUACCGCGCGCCACAUACCCCGGUGCCCUCCCGGCAGUGGGUCUUCGCGGACGAGGCAUCCACCUCGGGAUCAGGUAUCCUGUUAGCUGCAUAGCUGUCGUUGUCGAGGAGAUUGGUUACCUUUGCUCACCACUUGUUUGUGUAUAGGUCUGGUAAAAAUUGGCCUUUGCAUUGGCUAUUUUACUAGUAAUACUGCACUACUGCUACCGGGAAAUAGUAAGGAGCUAGUUCAACCAAUUAGGUAGUGGAAGUUAUUUUCCAAAAGAAAAAAGUUCAGUGAAAGUCAAAAUCUUCUACCCAGCUAGUGCAAUCUCCCACAAAGUCAUGAUCUUCGUGUGUACUUCCCUUACAAAGUUGGAUCAGUUUGGCUUGUUGGCUUGGAAGUGUGUUGCUUAUCACAAAUUUGUAUCAGAUUGGGUGGAAUUGUGUUGCUGAGAUGGAGGCAUUCGUGCCUGUACUUAUGCUUUCUUUUGUUAGAUGCAUGCACAAUCAUGUCAUACAACAUCUUGGCGGAUAACAAUGCACGGAACCAUCCUGACCUUUACUUGGACGUCCCUUGGGAUGCUUUGAGAUGGGAUUCGAGGAGAAGGCUUAUUAUCCAUGAAAUUAGGCACUGGGACUCUGACUUAGUGUGUCUUCAGGCAAGAACUCAACCUGCAUAUUGGCGAUGUCAUCCUUCCACUGUACUCUGUAACACUUUAUGUUUGGAAAAUAGGAGGUGGAUAGAUUCCGGGAAAUUGCUGCAGAAAUGAAGAACAAAGGCUAUGAAUGUAGCUUUAAGGUAUAGCACUAUAACAUUUCUCUUUGAAAUUUCUGCCUUUCAAAUCUUAAGCUGAGUCCCGUGCCAUCCUCAGGGGCGCACUGGGGAUGCUAAAGAUGGAUGUGCUACCUUUUGGAAGUCAGAACGGUAUGACUAAUGCUACCCCUUCUCCGCUUGUUAUCUUUAUUGGUUGGAACAAAGCAGCAAUUUUAUCCUUUCUGUUUGUUUGAACUGUAGGUUACGUCUGCUUGAGGAAGAUAGUAUUGACUUUAGUGAAUUCAAUCUACGAAAUAAUGUUGCUCAAGUAUUAGUUUUUGAGGUACUUGGAUUUACAUCAAAGCACUAGUUGGUUCAGUUCAUUAACUAAAGUAAGGAGUAAUUUCUCAUCCAUCCUGGUAAGAGUUAGCAGAUAAUCGCUUGGCUUCUUCUGCUAUUAAUGCUUUCCCUAUUUGAUAUGGGCCUGAGACCCAAAUAAUGGGUAGAACUAGCAGGAAAUAGAGAAGGAGGGGAUAUCUUUUUUUCUGUGAUAGUUCCAUCUUUUCUCUGUGAGUCGAAUAGCUCUAUCUGGAAACAUGCACCAUGUAUUAUUAUAAUUUUAGCACUGUCUUGUGACUCCCUUUACAUUGUGUAAAUGAACCAAAUGAUGUACUACAAUCGUGCAUUUUCUGAAUAGCCUCCCAGCUACCAUCUUUUGUAUAUUUUUUCUUCUUAUUCAGGUCUCUGCUAAGUAACCAAUGUUUUACUGUUGGAAGAAAAUGGUUAUAUUUAUUUUUCUUCUGACAUGUUUCCUUUUCAGCUUAACGGAACCCAAAAAUUUGUACUCGGGAAUAUCCAUGUUUUGUUUAAUCCAAAGCGUGGAGAUGUAAAAAUGGGACAGGUAUGUCAGUUCAGAUAAAAUCAGCAUCAUUUGUUUCAUGCAUAUCUAAUAUCAUUGUGUAGUCGUGUCUCAAGAUGGUCUGCAUAAUCCUCAUUAGCUGAUAGGAAUGUAAUGCACAGUUUGAAAUGACUGUUGGCCACUUCAAAUUUGACAGAUAUCUAUUUACUCCUUCCAACUUUACCCAAAUUAUUGUUUACUCCUGAUUCUCCUUCCUCCAGAUCCGCAUGCUACUGGAGAGGGCGAAUGCUCUUGCUGGAAAAUGGGAUGGAAUUCCUAUUGUGCUUGCUGGUGAUUUUAACAGCACACCUGAAGUAUGUUUUAGUUGCUUCCUUGCAUAUAUGUGCCUUAAGAUUCUCACAUAAAGAUAAUUACUUGUAACAAGUGUUUAGUUUCUGGAACUGAGAUGACAUGUUACCGCUCAUGAGUGAUAGUGCUUUAGAUUGAACGCGGGUGUUGGAUGGUACAAUUAGGGUAUUAAGUUGUAAAUAGGUUUUUUUUUUAUUGAAAUGUGGUAUCUUGUGAUUUAGAGCUAACAUUUUUCUUUCAUUGGUUCUAACUUUUCUUUUUUCUCUUCCUUGGACCAGAGUGCCAUCUAUAAGUUCUUGUCGACAAUGAAGGUGAAAUAUUGCAUUAGAUAUUUCUUGCAUAUCCCCAAAGUUAUAGUCUGGUUAUUAUAGAACUGAUUUACAAUGCAUACAAUGUGCUCUUUUUGGUGUGACCAGCUGAACGUUUCUUUGCAUGAUAGAAGGCAGUUGUCUGGACUGGAUAGCUCUGAAUUUGGUUUGUAUUGUAGGUUAGAAUUCUUUCUUGUCAGAUUUUAGUUGACCUAGCACAUUUGUCCAUUUUAAGAUUUUUAUCUACCUUCCUUGUAGUUUACUGAACUUUGAAUGGAGUGACGAAGAAGUGAGAAAUGCGACAGGGUCCUCAAAUGUCAUGGUCGCUAGACAUCCGUUGAAGCUUUCUAGCUCUUAUGCUAUGUUGAAGGUAGUAUUUAUUUUCUAGUAGAAACUGAAGCACUCUCUUCGACUAUUCGACAUAUAGUUGAAAUGAAGAGCCGGUUUAUUUUAGGGAAAUUCAAGCAAUAGGGGUCAUCAUGGUGAACCUCUAGCAACGUCAUAUCACAAGAAGUUUCUGGGGACUGUUGAUUAUUUGUGGUACGCUUCUAAACGUGUCUGCAUCUAUUAUACACAUAUACAAUAUGGCUGAGUCUCGUUGUUGAAGGUAUACUCCUGGACUUGAAUGCUCCAGAGUUUUGGACACACUACCUGUGGAUGCUUUGAAGAGGACAAGGGGUCUUCCAACCAGGGUACUUCCUAUUUUAAUGCAUCAUACUAUUUAGACAAAUCUGUAUGUGAAAAAGGACUAUAUGUUUAAACUUUGGGCUUGGGCAAUGUCAUGAUUCGAGUUUUGGCCGUAAAUUUCCUGUUAUACAUAAUGCUCAUAUUUGACCGCUAACAACGAUGUCAUGCUGAAAAAUCAUCAGGAAAUGGGCAGUGAUCAUCUGCCAAUUGUUGCUGAAUUCAUCUUCUCGGAACAGACCAGAUAUUCAUCCGAGCAAGGAGAUGAAUCCGACCAAGAUGAAUCUGAGCCAGACGAUGAGCCUACACGAGAAGCAACCACAGCAAAACACAUAUAUUUCUCCUCAGACAGUGACAGUUCGGCUGAUGCAAGUUAAUUAUUCAGUUGGUAGGAAAAGUUUAGGAUAUAUGACUUGGAGGACAGGGGCGCUGUACGAACUUCAUGGCGGUGACCAUACCAUUCAUGAUUCAGAUGCAGAAAUUAUCUUGGCCAUUGUAAGGCUCACGCCAUAUCCUUGAAUGAAUGUGCAAGGUGUGUUGCCAGAACCUGUAGUGUUGUAAUUCCUGUAGUGGAUUCCAGUCCUGCUGCUUCAGGAUGCUGAUACGGAUCAGAAUCAGGUGUAGGAAGCUGAUGUCUCCAGACUCAAGUGCCAAGAUUGUGGCCGAACGAGUGUUCUCCACGAGCUAUACAAACAAGUAGGUUAAGGACAAGGAAAGAAAAACAAUUAGUAUUGGCAGUUUAGCAUUUACUAGUACUCAAAGUGUAUUUAUUCUCCACUUUUGCGCAGAAUAUUGACACGCUAUCGUAAUGAUUUAACGUGCAGUAUGUACAUGCCGACUGUAGUGUACUCGUUCGGUCUAUGCCUAUAUACUCGCUCGUUUGACACUAACUGGCAAGCGUUCACUGGGACGGGAUUGGCAAGCGAACAUUUCUAAUGACGUUUUUAGGUGAUAGCAGUUGGUAGUUUCUGCCUGUUUUCGCCUCAAAAAUUCUUUCUAUUUGGAAACUGUCAUGUCUCUCUGAAAAAUUGUCAUGCGUCACUGAAUAAACUACUUGUAAAAACGUUGGCAAACGCUACCCCUCAUUGUGAACGUUCGCUGGCUAUUGGGGUCCUUGACACUAUUGGUUGAGGAUCCCGCUUUUAGAUUGGUGUAGGAGCAGGAGACUAACCAAACUUGCAUAUAUCCUGUAAUAAGUUAGGAAUUACAAAGUUCACGUGAAGUACAAAGCAUCUCAAACAUAAAAAUUACAUUGAGAUUAUGAGACCACUGAACAAAGCAUCUCCAACAUAAAAAUUAUAUUGAGAUUAUGAGACCAAUGUAUGACGGCUAGCUAUAUACUCGCUCGUUUGACACUAUUGUUUGAAGAUCCUGCUUUUAGACUGCUCGCAGUAGGAUACUAACCAAACAUUCCAUAUAUUCUGCAAUAAAUGAGGAAUUGCCGUCAUCGAGGAGGUCAGGCAGGCUUUAGUAAGGGGGCGGUGCGUCGGCGGCUUGUCCUGAUGGUGGUAGUGGUCGUUUGAUGAUCCAUUGACCUGUAGAUGCAAAAAAUUUUAUGUGUGUUAUAUAUGUUUUAUUUUGUACUCCCUCUGUAAACUAAUAUAAAAGCAUUUAGAUCACUAUUUUAGUUAUCUAAACACUCUUAUAUUAGUUUACAGAGGUAAUACUUAUGGACUUUUGUAUUAGAUCGAGUCCUUUGUGUAAAAAAAGAAACUAGAAAUUGCAGCAAUAGCAAACACACAGAUGCAGAGGCUGAGUACUAGCACUAGCAAAAUGCAGAUCGACCUUGCAUUCCCCAACCGUCAAAUCCGCAGUCCGCACUCAUCAGGCACCAACCAAAGAAAUGCCUGGUACGGGAGGGCAGGGAGGCCAUCUAUGGAUUUGAAGAUAGGGAGGCGGCCAAUCAGAGCCAAGCGGCCGGCCACGUCACCGCUCCGAGGGACCAAGACGCGGGCGAGCGCGGCCGCACAAGAGCCCCUCCUACACAACAAGCGUCCCAGCUUUUGUUGUUGUUGGGCGAGACACAGAGCGAGAGGCCGAGGAAGCGAUAGCUCUAGCGAUAAGGCACUGACGGAUCAAUGGCUGCCACGGCGUACUCCGUGGCCCUCCUCGGCGGGGCGCGCCUCCCCGCCGCCACCAGCAACGCCGCCCCACGCUCCUCCGCCCUCCUCCCGCGGCGCAACCUCCACCCGCUCCGCCUCCAAGGUGCACAUGCAUCCUAUGCUAUCUACGUACUAUCAGCCGGGUUUUUCCGGAGGAUUCUUUUGGCUCUGACGGCUUGGCCGAGCUUGCAGAUGCGCCGAGGCCGUCCCUGCUCCGCGUGAAGGCGGCCUCCGACGACACGUCGGCGAGCGGCGAUGAGAUCAUCGAGGACCUCAAGGGGAAG